GGCCAGGCAUAUCUAGCGUUCUGAUUUGAUGCCGGUUUGAUUGACAGCUGGGUCUGGCCCGCCCAGAAGACGCAUAUCAUUUCCGUUCCUGUAGCCGGACAUUGCAGUUCAAUAGAUUCUGGCUAACGGCUCAAUGCAGUGGCUUAUUGUGUGUGCGUUACAAGAAGUAAGUGUUCAUGUCUUCUGUCUGUGUGCUUCUAACACUUAGUAUAUGGGUUUAGUGUUGUAACGCAAACUUCGAAUGACGAUCGGACCGCAUGAUUGCAGUUACGUCAUGAACGCGGGUGGUGCGCGCUUCCGAGCAAACGCCAUUAUUAACGACGCACGUGUUAUCCCCGCAAGUUUAUAUACCAUUGAAGUGUGUUGAUAUAUAAAUUAGUGAAGUGUUAAGCAAUGUAAAUGCCAUGUUUACUCAGUAUUUGGGCAUUGGAUGUGUCUUACAUGUAUGUGUUUACUGCAUAUUUAGACCUGAUGCUCUGUUAAUCUUUACUUGUAUGCCAUAAGUGAUGUUAUAUAUAUUAUGUCAUAUUAUAUUGUUCUGUAUAUUAUACCAAUUGCAGUUUAAUCAUUGUGGUAUAUUUCUCUCUUGUUUCUAGAAAAUACCACACACACACGCAUGUGCCUUUAUGACUGCAAAUAAAUGCUGUAUAAAAUCAGCUAACUACAAAGCCUGACUUAUGCGUUCUUACCGACGCCCCCUGGUGAUCACAUCAUAAAUAGUAAAGCCAGUGCCUUUUAACAAACUCACCAACAACUUAUGGUCCUUCGAGCCGGAGUUGAUGUGAUUAUCAUGGAUAACAUGUCCAGAGCCAGUCAUAUUACAGAGCCUGAGUCAGAAGUAUGUCACAAACGAGUGCCAAAGCCUCCAAGACAUUUAGCCGAUUUCGAAGUGGAAUACAGUGGGUUUCAACACACUUAUCCACCUGCAUCUAAAGUGCAACAUGAGCUCUACCAACGUGAAUCAGAGUGGCAAGGAGCUCAUUAUCAGUCAGAAGGAGCUGCCGGGAUGACACCCUUCAUUCAGUGUUCAGAAAAUGAAAGAGAUGGAGAGCCAUAUGAAGAUAAAGAGGCUCAAGCAGUCAUUCAACGGCUAAGAGAAGAGAAUGUUCAACUGUACCGUACACUCAGAGAAAUGAGUCAAAGAGUUGACACUGGAACGACUGUACUCCAGAGCCCUAUUCCUUUGCCUCGAACCAAACCAGUAAUUGGGGCUUCUAGUACGCAAGCUAAAUUCACACCAAUACCAGCUCCACGCUCUCACCGGUCCUUUAGGUUGAACUCCAAUAAACCAGCUGCUAAGGAGGCUGAAGUCUGUGAACCUGUGGUGGAUGAUCAGGUUAGUGUUUCGGCCAUUUCAAAUGAACUGUCCAGAAUGAGCAUUAGAUCUCUACCAGAAAACAUACAUGUCCCAUAUCAUCAUAGUUCACCCUACUAUGCUCAGCCGCAACCUGAUACCAGGGCAUACCCAGUGCAUAACCAAGAUGACUACUGUAGUUAUGGCCCAAACCAGCCACAGAUGACUUAUCGUGCCACCCAACCUGUUCUAAUGCCUCACAAACAGUUAGAAAGGAUACAGCCACACAAUCCAAUAAGAAAUUUUGUGUCUGCUGGUCGGCCACCCCCUGCUAGAGAGAGCACCUACAGAGGCCCCACACCCUCUAUACCUGAUUUUACAUCAGAAGACCCACGACAAUUUGCACGUUUAAAGAUAUCUCUUGAGAAUUUGCUACCACAAGAUGCUACGGAGCAGUUCAAAUAUCAGAUUCUGGUGGAGCAUUUGAAAGUUGAGGAAGCUCUUCUUAUAGCUGACUCAUACAGUAACUCCCCUUAUCCUUACUCAUACACCAUGCAAUCUCUGACUGAACACUAUGGACAGCCCCACCAGCUGGCAUUACAGAGAAUUGCUGAACUGAUGGAAGGCCCCAACAUGCGAAGUGGAGAUACCCAGGCUUUUAGGAGGUUCGCUCUAAGAGUAAGAGCACUGGUGGGGAUGCUCGACCAGCUGGGUGACAAAGGAAGUAUUGAACUUCAGUGUGGCUCACACGUGGCUAGACUCAUGUCCAAACUGCCCCAUGAUCUUCGAGCAAAUUUCAAAAGGUACAUCCACCCACUCAGAAACCCUAUACCUAACCUGUUAGAUUUCUCAGACUGGCUCGAGUUUGAAUUGCAAGUGCAGCCCACAGACAGUAGAGUUCAUUUGAGUGAGCUAAAAGGACGUAGUGCUCCAUAUAAAGAGGCUCAGCGGCCACGCAAACACCCUCAACAGCCAACUGCCAUCCUGCACAGUACAGAUCAGUCUCUGAGCAGUACAACAACAAAGGAGCCAGAGAAAGAAACCUUUAACAGGUCAGUGUACUGUCAAUACUGUGACAACAAACAACACUUCCUUAAUCAGUGUUGUAAUUUUGCACAGCUGCCUUCUGAGCUGAAAGCUAACUGGAUUAAAAUUAAUAAAAGAUGCUGGAAGUGUGGAGGGAGACAUCAGGCAGCACAAUGCAAGUUGAAAGCCGCAUGUAAGGUUUGCACAGGAAAGCAUCUAACCACUCUGCAUGAGGUAAAUAGCAGGUCUGCAGCAGCAAAGAGUCCCGAAGUGCAGCAAGAGAGUCAAACUCUAUACCUAGACCGUCCAGUAGGUGGCAGCCAGGUUCUUCUAAAAAUCAGUAAGGUACUGUUGCACAAUGGCAAACAUACAUUGACAACUUACGCCAUACUCGAUGAUGGUUCAGAGCGCACCAUCUUAUUGCACGAGGCAGCGCAGCAGCUUAAGAUCAAUGGUGAGCCAGAGAACCUUGCGCUGAGGACAGUCAGACAUGACACACAAGUGCUUUCAGGUGCCAAGGUGUCCUUCACUCUAUCCCCUGCCUCUCAGCCCAACAAGAAAUUCAAAAUACGGGGUGCAUUCACUGCAAACCAUUUAGGGCUAGCAAAGCACUCACAUCCAGUUCAAGCUCUACAAGAGAAAUUUAAUCAUCUCAAGAGUCUGCCCCUUCAUAGUUUCUCUCAAGUACAGCCAUUGUUACUAAUAGGCUCUGACCACCAUCAUCUGAUUGCCCCAAUUGAACCAGUACGCUUUGGUCCACCAGGUGGUCCUGCUGGUGUCAAAACUAGAUUAGGCUGGACAUUGCAAGGACCUGCCAAUGUUGUUCAGCAUCAGCUCUCAGCACAGCAAUGCCUAUUCACCUCAGUUGUCUCAUCAUCGGAGCUUCUGCAAAAUGUUGAACGACUAUGGAAAAUAGACACCUUACCAUACAGAACAGAAAAGGAAGUGACUCGCUCACGCUGUGAUCAAGAUGCCAUUAAUUUGCUUGAGUCUAAGACCGUAAGGGUGGAUGUGGAUGGAGUGAGCAGGUAUGCUACCCCUCUGCUACGCAAGAAAGAGAUGCCAAUGCUACAGGCACCAAAGGAAGCAGUCCUUCCUCAGCUCAGAGGCCUAGAAAAACGGCUUGGCAGAAACCAAGAGUGGGCAAGAUCAUACAACCAAGAGAUUGACAGACUAGAGAAAGCUGGUUAUGUCAUUAAACUUAAACCGGAAGCUGUAGACCAGUCACAGGAGUCUUGGUACAUACCACACCAUAUGGUUUGCCAUAAUGGAAAAAACAGAGUGGUGUACAACUGUUCGUUUCGGUUUGAGGGUCACAAUCUCAAUGAGUAUCUCUUGCCAGGUCCAACUCUUACUUCCACUCUUCUGGGCAUAUUACUUCGAUUCAGAGAGCAUACAGUUGCCGUGACAAGUGAUAUUAAGGGAAUGUUUCACCAGAUUCGCCUGCUGCCAGAGGACAAACCUCUGCUCAGGUUCUUAUGGAGGAACAUCCAGCGAGAGAGCCCAGUAAAUGUGUAUGAGUGGCAGGUAUUGCCCUUCGGAACAACAUGUAGCCCAUGCUGUGCCACGUUCGCCGUUUUGAAACAUACCCGGGACCACACAUCACCAGAUGAAGAUGCACGCAUGUCUGUGGAGAGACACUUUUAUGUUGAUAAUUUCUUGCAGAGUGUACCUUCGGAAGACAAAGCUACAAAACUGGUGAAUAAACUACAAUCCCUUCUAGCCUCAGGUGGGUUUGAACUGAGACAAUGGGCGAGUAAUAUUCCCUCCGUUGUAGCCCACCUUCCCCUUGAGGCCAGAUCAGAGAAGAAUGAGCUGUGGCUCUCAGAAAAACAGUGGAAUGUUGCAGAGUCCACUUUGGGCUUACGCUGGCUCUGUCAAACAGACACACUGGGCUACAAGGCCUGGCAGCGAGAAAGGCAAGUGCCCACAUUGAGAUACAUCUAUCAUGUUUUGGCUAGCCAGUAUGAUCCUUUGGGCUAUAUUGUCCCAUAUACCACCAGGGCUAAAGUGCUGAUACAACGGUUGUGGGACAAAAGUCGUGAUUGGGAUGACCCCAAACUGCCCAAUGAUCUACAACAAGCUUGGUGUACAUGGGAAGAGGAGCUGCAAAACAUUGAGAGAAUUGUAAUCCCACGAUGUUACACUAGCCCACCUCUGGAUGCUGAAACAUGUGUGAGGGAUAUUCACAUAUUCUGUGAUGCGUCAGAAUCGGCAUACGGAUCAGUUGCAUACCUUAGAACACAACAUACAGAAGGCCAAGUGGAGGUUUCAUUCAUUGCAGCAAGAUCCAGAGUUGCACCUAAGCGGCAGCUGUCUAUUCCAAGAUUGGAACUCUGCGCUGCCCUAACUGGAGCUCAGUUGGCAAGCCUUUUAGAAAGAGAGCUUACUCUGCCCAUCCAACACCUAACAUUAUGGAGUGACUCAAAAGUGGUGCUGACCUGGAUUCAAUCGGAGUCCUGUAGAUACAAGGUGUUUGUAGGCACAAGAAUUGCCGAGAUCCAAGAAUUAACCUCUCCUCAAGCAUGGAAGUAUGUUAAGUCUGAAGAUAACCCGGCAGAUGAUAUCACUCGUGGUAAAUCACUUUGGCAGCUUGCACAACCUACAAGAUGGAACCUAGGGCCUCAUUUCCUCCGGCAAGACCCACUUACUUGGCCCAAUGACUCAGUGAAGCCAAACACUGACAACACGGAUGAGGAAACAAAGAUAAGCUUUUGUGGCUUAACUAGAAUAGACUUUUCCCAGGCCAUUCAGGGAUUCUCGCAGUUUCACAGUUUAUCACAAGCAGUUGAGUCCAAAGCUUUGGAACAAUUUGGCCUAGACAAGAAACCAGAAGAUUUAUCCGCCAAAGAUUAUGCAGAGGCCGAGAUCACCCUACUGAAGGAAGCACAAGCUACAUGCUUUCCCACUGAAUUAGAGGCACUGACAACUGGCAAACCCUUGCCCUCUAACAGUCGGUUACUUACCCUUGCUCCAGAGCUGGACAAAUCUACCGGGCUCAUUAGAGUUGGUGGGCGUCUACGACGCAGUGAAUUGCUUGAUCCAGAAACUGUUCACCCCAUAAUACUAGAACCCAAACAUCCCCUGAGUCAGCUACUCAUACAGCAUUUUGAUGAAAAAUUGCAUCACCCCGGUCCUGAAAGAGUAUAUGCUGAGAUCCGCCGACAAUAUUGGAUUUUGAGAGGACGAGAGGCUGUAAGAUAUCAUCAACAUAAGUGUACCGAGUGUAGAAAAUGGCGAGGUAAACCUGAGAUCCCCCGUAUGGCCGAUUUACCCCCUGCUCGCCUUCGACUUUACAAACCUGCAUUCUACUCAACUGGUGUGGACUGUUUCGGACCUUUCAUAAUCAAAGUGGGGCGGCGCAACGAGAAACGGUGGGGAAUUAUCUUUAAAUGUAUGACGACUAGAGCGGUAUACAUUGAUGUGCUAACCAACAUCAGCUCAGACUCAUUCCUCAUGGCUCUACGCCGAUUCAUUGCUCGAAGAGGAAAACCCCAUGAGCUCUUUUCAGACCAGGGUACUAAUUUCAAGGGAGGUGAGAGAGAAAUAACCGAAGCAUUCAACAACUUGCAACCUACCCUGAAAAGCCAACUUGCAAAGCAACAGAUAGAGUUUCACUUUAACCCACCUGGAGCUCCCCAUUUUGGGGGUAUCUGGGAAAGAGAAAUCAGAACACUGAAAGCUGCACUCAACCAGACGCUUGGAGCACAACAUGUGUCAGAGGAAGUAUUAACAACAGUGCUGGUAGAGAUUGAGGGAAUUCUCAAUUCCAAGCCGUUGGGUUAUGUACCAUCUGAUGUGGCUGACAUUGACCCUAUAACUCCAAAUAGCCUUCUAAUGGGGCGGCCUGACUCCAGCUUGCCACAAGUUGUCUAUCCAAAAACAGAACUACUGAGCAAAAAGCAAUGGAGACACAGUCAAAUACUGGCGGAUCAUUUCUGGGCACACUUCAUAAAGCGCUAUCUGCCUCAACUACAGACGCGGGAAAAAUGGAUGACUGACAAGGCCAAGAAUCUGGAGAAAGGGACAGUAGUGAUAAUAAUCGAUUCGCAACUUCCCAGAGCUCUCUGGCUGGUGGGUAAGAUCACUGACACAAUACCUGGAGCAGAUGGAUGUAUAAGAACUGCUGAAGUACAAGUGGGUGAUCGCAAAUAUGUUAGACCUGUGAGUAAAUUGAUCCGUUUACCACCGUUACCAGAAGAUGAUAAUUCUUAGGCCUUUUCUGUAGUAAAUUUACUAAGUAAAUUGGGGCGGCUGUUGUAAAGGCCAGGCAUAUCUAGCGUUCUGAUUUGAUGCCGGUUUGAUUGACAGCUGGGUCUGGCCCGCCCAGAAGACGCAUAUCAUUUCCGUUCCUGUAGCCGGACAUUGCAGUUCAAUAGAUUCUGGCUAACGGCUCAAUGCAGUGGCUUAUUGUGUGUGCGUUACAAGAAAAAAUACCACACACACACGCAUGUGCCUUUAUGACUGCAAAUAAAUGCUGUAUAAAAUCAGCUAACUACAAAGCCUGACUUAUGCGUUCUUACCGACGCCCCCUGGUGAUCACAUCAUAAAUAGUAAAGCCAGUGCCUUUUAACAAACUCACCAACAAAUAUUGUAUGUAAUUACAUUUAGAUUAUUUUCUUUCAUGUGCUUGUCACAAUACCCUUACUUGAGACUAAGUUUAUUCUAAUUUUUAUUAUGAUUAUGUUUUUAAAUGAUUGUGAUUAUGAAAUCAUGUGUCCUCAAAUUG
Molecule: RNA transcript, 7049 nt
Organism: Danio aesculapii
Lineage: Eukaryota; Metazoa; Chordata; Actinopteri; Cypriniformes; Danionidae
Exons: 2
Source: RefSeq, a predicted model, not a curated record